GGGGUGUUUGGUUUUGACGAGAAGUAAAUUAAACUUAAAUAAAUUACAGAAUUGACAAACACAUGAAAUUAAGGUGAAAGGAUAGGGUACGGACUAGCUAGAGGGUUUUUCUCCACACAUGACACAUAUGCAACCUAAAUUGAUUUUCAGUUGUUCUUUCAAUAAAUUGUGAAUCUCAACACUUCAGAUUAACCGUGAACAACACUUUUUUAAUCUUCAAGUUUUCCUUAAGUUA
RNAcentral lists this long non-coding RNA (235 nucleotides) under Malus domestica (apple). RNAcentral describes it as "long non-coding RNA (MDOM_LNC013380)". Lineage: Eukaryota; Viridiplantae; Streptophyta; Magnoliopsida; Rosales; Rosaceae. The record is from RNAcentral.